Molecule: ribosomal RNA, 693 nt
Filed under: uncultured bacterium
Lineage: Bacteria
Description: bacterial SSU rRNA
Rfam family: Bacterial small subunit ribosomal RNA
Source: RNAcentral
UAACGCGUGGGUAACCUGCCCUGUACACACGGAUAACAUACCGAAAGGUAUGCUAAUACGAGAUAAAAUACUUUUAUCGCAUGGUAGAAGUAUCAAAGCUUUUGCGGUACAGGAUGGACCCGCGUCUGAUUAGCUAGUUGGUAAGGUAACGGCUUACCAAGGCGACGAUCAGUAGCCGACCUGAGAGGGUGAUCGGCCACAUUGGAACUGAGACACAGUCCAAACUCCUACGGGAGGCAGCAGUGGGGAAUAUUGCACAAUGGGCGAAAGCCUGAUGCAGCAACGCCGCGUGAGCGAUGAAGGCCUUCGGGUCGUAAAGCUCUGUCCUCAAGGAAGAUAAUGACGGUACUUGAGGAGGAAGCCCCGGCUAACUACGUGCCAGCAGCCGCGGUAAUACGUAGGGGGCUAGCGUUAUCCGGAAUUACUGGGCGUAAAGGGUGCGUAGGUGGUUUCUUAAGUCAGAGGUGAAAGGCUACGGCUCAACCGUAGUAAGCCUUUGAAACUGGGGAACUUGAGUGCAGGAGAGGAGAGUGGAAUUCCUAGUGUAGCGGUGAAAUGCGUAGAUAUUAGGAGGAACACCAGUUGCGAAGGCGGCUCUCUGGACUGUAACUGACACUGAGGCACGAAAGCGUGGAGAGCAAACAGGAUUAGAUACCCUGGUAGUCCACGCCGUAAACGAUGAGUACUAGCUGU